UUCCUAAACAAGUAUGUAUACAAGAUAAAGCAAAUUAAGGCUUCUACUGUGUUAGGCUGACGACGGUGAUGUUAUCGACUGCAUCAACAUUUAUCAACAGCCGGCCUUCAACAAUCCUCGCCUUAAAAACCACACAAUAUCGACAAUCAAGACACGACCCGGCAAAUUGCCUUUCUCCAAAAGAGCGAAAACAGCUCGACAAGCAUGGCAAAACAAUGGGAGAUGUCCCGAUGGAACUAUAGCAAUUAGAAGGGCCACACAACAAUCUCAGCUUGAGGUUGAUGCCACACAACCAAAUGGUUGCUACAUCGAGUAUGCAGGAAUCCAAGCACCUCAAACUGUAUAUGGCGCUAGAGGGGACGUAAACGUGUGGGGCAUACGAGUAGAGCCCAACGAGUGGAGCACGAAUGGCAUCGUAAUAACCAAUGGACGUGGUGCCUCGUUGCAGUUUGGGUGGAUGGUACGCAACUUUAUUAACCUUUUGUACAAUUAAUUAAUUAAUUUAGUUGCAUCACCAAUUAAUUUUAAUAACAGACUGUACUAGCUCAAUUAAUUAAAAAGAAAAACUAACA
Molecule: non-coding RNA, 572 nt
Organism: Oryza sativa Japonica Group (Japanese rice)
Lineage: Eukaryota; Viridiplantae; Streptophyta; Magnoliopsida; Poales; Poaceae
Source: RefSeq, a predicted model, not a curated record